Molecule: ribosomal RNA, 479 nt
Filed under: uncultured bacterium
Lineage: Bacteria
Description: partial 16S ribosomal RNA
Rfam family: Bacterial small subunit ribosomal RNA
Source: RNAcentral
GAUGAACGCUAGCGGGAGGCCUAACACAUGCAAGCCGAGCGGUAGAGUUUCUUCGGAAACUUGAGAGCGGCGCACGGGUGCGUAACACGUGUGCAACCUACCUUUAUCUGGGGGAUAGCCUUUCGAAAGGAAGAUUAAUACCCCAUAAUAUAAUGAUUGGCAUCAAUUAUUAUUGAAAACUCCGGUGGAUAGAGAUGGGCACGCGCAAGAUUAGAUAGUUGGUGAGGUAACGGCUCACCAAGCCAAUGAUCUUUAGGGGUCCUGAGGGGGAGAUCCACCAAACUGGUACUGCGGCACAGACCAGACUCCUACGGGACGCAGCGGUGAGUAAGAUUGGACACUGGGUGAGAGCCUGAUCCAGCCAUCCCGCGUGAAGGAUGACGGUCCUAUGGAUUGUAAACUUCUUUGGAAGAGGGAUAGACCUACCCUCGUGAGGGUAGCUGAAGGUACUGUACGAAUAAGCACCGGCUAACUCCGUG